CGGGCUCACCUGAGCACAGAGGUUUGGAAAGUUCUCGGUUUUCCGUGAGGAGGAAUAGAAGUGCUAUGGGCAUCCACGCCAGGUCUUGGUGUGGACCGAAAUUCUGAUUACUCGUGGAUAAUUCAGGGCGUGGGCUGCCAGGUCCUCGGGGACUUGAUGGGGUAAGUACUAUUAUUAGACCCAUUUUAUUUAUCAGGAGACUAGCCUGCCACAGGUCUGUCUCUCGCUCACACACACCAGACUGGGCCGCCAUCCCUCGCCUAGUCCCUCUAGGACCCGCGCGGGAGCCCAAGGUCCCCUACCCACAGGCAGCACCAAGGUCGUCCUGGACCCCACCCAGCGCGGCGUCCCGCCCCACAGCCCGGGCACCGACAACCGUCGCCGCAGGGGCCUGGAGACCCAGACGCGCUGCAGACACUGCGAUUUGUUCAUCUUUCCAGCCAACCCGUCUCGUCCUGACGGUAAUUAGCUCCCAGACUGGUGGGGAGACAUGAACAGCCUCCCCGUCAUCGCGACGGCCCCA
RNAcentral lists this long non-coding RNA (523 nucleotides) under Marmota monax (woodchuck). The record is from RNAcentral. Lineage: Eukaryota; Metazoa; Chordata; Mammalia; Rodentia; Sciuridae.